UAGGGAAUCUUCGGCAAUGGACGAAAGUCUGACCGAGCAACGCCGCGUGAGUGAAGAAGGUUUUCGGAUCGUAAAACUCUGUUGUUAGAGAAGAACAAGGACGUUAGUAACUGAACGUCCCCUGACGGUAUCUAACCAGAAAGCCACGGCUAACUACGUGCCAGCAGCCGCGGUAAUACGUAGGUGGCAAGCGUUGUCCGGAUUUAUUGGGCGUAAAGCGAGCGCAGGCGGUUUCUUAAGUCUGAUGUGAAAGCCCCCGGCUCAACCGGGGAGGGUCAUUGGAAACUGUGAGACUGUAGUGCAAAAUAGAAGAGUGGAAUUCCAUGUGUAGCGGUGAAAUGCGUGAAUAUAUGGAGGAACGCCAGUGGCUAAGGCGGCUCUCUAGUCUAUAACUGACGCUGAGGCUCGAAAGCGUGGGGAGCAAACAGG
This 429-nucleotide ribosomal RNA is filed under the name Gemmatimonadota bacterium. Its description in RNAcentral is "Gemmatimonadetes bacterium partial 16S ribosomal RNA". It matches the Rfam family "Bacterial small subunit ribosomal RNA", at positions 355 to 776 of the family's 1533-position model. Lineage: Bacteria; Pseudomonadati; Gemmatimonadota. The record is from RNAcentral.